GCAAAACAAGCCUGGCAAAAACACCUAAACAACCACCGAAAAGCCUAAGUCGGACUAUAAUCAGAGGAAGCGAAAAUAAUGGGGUCCACAUCCCACGAGCGUUGCAUCCGCCUGUUCCUGGGAGAGUCCUCAACAUUCUCAAAGAUGAUGUGACACAGCGCCCCAAAGGAGAACCGGGCAACACGCUUAUAAAACUCCUUGCCGCUGAGCAAGGUAAUGGCCCAACUGAGAGUCUCCUCCCAAGUCCUGUUGGUCCAGGGGAGAUUGCAUCUAGUAGCCCAGAAAAAGGCAAUACUCGAGCCACAGGUUUAGUUGGUAGCGAGGCAGGAUGGCAUUACUCCAAAUGAAACAAUGCCAAUUGACUCUGGCCUUCUUCCUCCUUAAGGCCUCCCAAGCCGAGGCCACCGAGAACAAGCCCGUCGAGUCCUCCCUCCAACAGAACCGAUCUUGGGUUCCAGACAAGGAAGGAAGCGGCGAACCCCAAGACUCAAUCUCUGAUCUGAUAGCUUGUCCAUCCUCAGAGAAGAGAUCGGCAACCAAAGCCUGCCUAGAGAGA
This is a long non-coding RNA of Eucalyptus grandis, 556 nucleotides long. RefSeq lists it as uncharacterized. The transcript is spliced from 3 exons. The record is from RefSeq and is a predicted model, not a curated record. Lineage: Eukaryota; Viridiplantae; Streptophyta; Magnoliopsida; Myrtales; Myrtaceae.